AGCAGUAGCCGCGGUAAUACGUAGGUGGCAAGCGUUGUCCGGAAUUAUUGGGCGUAAAGGGCUCGCAGGUGGUUUCUUAAGUCUGAUGUGAAAGCCCCCGGCUCAACCGGGGAGGGUCAUUGGAAACUGGGAAACUUGAGUGCAGAAGAGGAGAGUGGAAUUCCACGUGUAGCGGUGAAAUGCGUAGAGAUGUGGAGGAACACCAGUGGCGAAGGCGACUCUCUGGUCUGUAACUGACGCUGAGGAGCGAAAGCGUGGGGAGCGAACAGGAUUAGAUACCCCUGUAGUCCCUGUCUCUUAUAC
Molecule: ribosomal RNA, 303 nt
Filed under: uncultured bacterium
Lineage: Bacteria
Description: partial 16S ribosomal RNA
Rfam family: Bacterial small subunit ribosomal RNA
Source: RNAcentral